Molecule: long non-coding RNA, 257 nt
Filed under: Ananas comosus (pineapple)
Lineage: Eukaryota; Viridiplantae; Streptophyta; Magnoliopsida; Poales; Bromeliaceae
Description: long non-coding RNA (ACOM_LNC044783)
Source: RNAcentral
CCGAACUUUACGAAUGAAUCUUUAUUCUUCAAUUUGAAUCUUUUCUUCAAAAACUUCCGCGAUCAACUCUUCAAGACUCCAUUCAACAUUACGAAAUUCGCCAAUCUAUAAAAUCCUUAACAAGAACCAACUCCAUGGUUCCCAGUGGGUACGGCCACCCAAGGAAAAAGCUCGACCAAUAGGUCCAAGGGAGGCAACUGCAACAAGUUAGUCCAAUAACAUAUAACAAAUAUUUAUACAUUUACUCGAUAUUGAAC